GUUUUAAUAGUUUAAGAAAAACACCGGUCUUGUAAACCGGAAUUGAAGAUGUAUCUUCUUAAAGCA
This 66-nucleotide transfer RNA is filed under the name Metapenaeus joyneri. Its description in RNAcentral is "tRNA-Thr". It matches the Rfam family "tRNA". Rfam says of the family: Transfer RNA (tRNA) molecules are approximately 80 nucleotides in length. Their secondary structure includes four short double-helical elements and three loops (D, anti-codon, and T loops). The record is from RNAcentral. Lineage: Eukaryota; Metazoa; Arthropoda; Malacostraca; Decapoda; Penaeidae.